ACAAAUUUCUUUCAAAAAAUUUGUUUCGUGAUGGUUUGUCAGUCAGCCAGUACUUUCAUUAGGGGCUAUACCCGUGCCCACCGUUACGAAUAAUCGCACAAACAACUACACCAAAUCUACACAUCACUAAACAGCUGACUCCAAAAUGGACACAAAGACCAGCGGCAAAACUACGCAAAACAAAAUUGUAAUACGGCACUUAUUCGAACGACGUGGACAUUCUCCUCCCCUCUUCAAUAAACUUUUAGCCGCAUAUUUCUUUCUACACAAUAGAAUACAUCUUCAACAAUAUUUUCGCACGAUCGUAAACAAGCGGAGAGACAUACAAUUACUUGUGAGCUGUUUGCACCAAUGUACGCAAAUAACAUAUAACCGGGGGGACUAAAUAUGAGUCUGCUUCUGACUCCGCCUGUCGCUCGGGGCAAGGAUGGGCGUUAUGAAAUGAACUCGCUCUGUUGAUGGGCGUGGUCUCGUCCGUUGCCGUUUGCCUCCUGUCUAUCCUGCUGGAUAAGGCCAGUGAAAAGGGCGCCGAAGAUAUGGCUGACGGGCGCCGCUGGGCCGGAACCUUGCCUGGGUGGAAACCUGCUGGCCUCUCUGGCUCGAGAGCUUCAUGUAGGGACGGAAAUCCUCAGCGUGGAUCUUUUCGUUGCCGGAACCGCUUGCCGUUUUUAUUUAUUGGAUUGUUUACUACCUUUCGGGCGUCGAAUUUGUUUAGUGUCGCUUGUAUAUGUAUUUGAUGUUUGAAUUUCUGUACUGAUUUUAUACGAGUUAUUCAUUUUCUUUUAGCAGCAUUUUAUUUAUGCAUAG
Long non-coding RNA from Drosophila montana, 807 nucleotides. RefSeq lists it as uncharacterized. The transcript is spliced from 4 exons. Lineage: Eukaryota; Metazoa; Arthropoda; Insecta; Diptera; Drosophilidae. The record is from RefSeq and is a predicted model, not a curated record.